Molecule: long non-coding RNA, 1697 nt
Organism: Hypanus sabinus (Atlantic stingray)
Lineage: Eukaryota; Metazoa; Chordata; Chondrichthyes; Myliobatiformes; Dasyatidae
Exons: 4
Source: RefSeq, a predicted model, not a curated record
UGUGGUGUUUCACUCACACACAUUAAAGGUCCCAAAUGGCAGAAGAUUAUUUUUUUUCUCUCAGAGUUUUUCUUAGAAAUAGAUAUCUAUAAUAAAACUGCCAUCCGUGUAUUCAGGACUGAAAUGAUGACAAGUAGAAAUAUUACCGUGUACUAUAGCCAUGGGUGUCCAACACUUUUUCUGCUCCAAGGUUUACAUUUUUUCCCAAUUGGCUGGAAGCAAAUAGAAAUUCAACUUUGUUCCUAUGGGAAGCGUGAGUGAGGAGAACUCGUUUCAAGGUCUGGCCUAUAUGUGUUUGGAAGUUAAGUAUGUGUGUGCCAAAUCUGGAUAUUGACUUGUUGGCUCAGGAUGAGAUCUUUGAACACUUAUCGUAUCUUCAGUUGUCCAUCAAAAUCCAAUGAUGACGUCCACUCUUUUAAUGGUGAGACCUUUGAUGACUACACAGUCCUAUCCUGGACCCACAAGUUCUAUUGCAGGUGGGACAUGUAUAUGUGGUAGUGAUGGCAACCAUGGCUGCAUUUCUCCUGGCUCUCUUCUGCUGUCUUCUGGUUGUUCUUUCCAUCUCCAGUAUACAAACCCCAUCCCUACACAGAUGUCGCCAAGUGUUAUGGUCAGCAGCAACAUCCUCCAGAUCCUCAGGAUUGAUCUUGCACUUACUUAAAGCAUUCUUCAUCCGAUCCUUAUAGCGUUUCUUCAGCCCUCCUGCUGAGCGUCAACCGUGAUGUAGCUGGCAGUAUAACACUCUGCAGGGUAGCCAAUAUGGGGGCAUCCUUAUCACAUUCCCCAGCCACUGCAGCUGACACUGGGUGAUCACGGCCUCAAUACUUCUGCAGUUGGUCUUUACAAGUAUUUCAGUGUGAGGCACCUGCUCAUGCCAGGUAAUUCCCAGGAUGCGCUGAAGGCAGCUUAUGUGGAAGUGCUCCAAGGACUUGAUGUUGACGGCUGCAGGUUACCCAAGCUUCACAGCCAUAAAGGAGGGUGGUGACACAGACCUCUUGGUAUACUGCGACCUUUGUGGAGGGACGAAGGCUCCUGUUCUGAAAGACUCUACGCCGAAGUCUCCCAAAGACAGCUGAUGCCUGUUUAAUGCUGCCCUGGAUGUAUAAUUAAUGUUGAAAAGACAUUUAAAGGUUUAUUUAAUGACAUGCUCCAGUCAAUCUAACCAAGGUAUCAUUAAAACAAAUUGUUUUCACCUCUGCAACAUUGCCUGACCACAGUCCUGUUUUAUAUCAUCUGCUGGAAAUAUGAUACAUCUGUACUUCUGUUACCUUUAAACUUCAUAAUUUCAACUUAAUCUUGGCUGCGCUUUUUCACUUUCUGAACAUAAACUGAAAAAAAUUCCAAAGCUCUUCUUUCUGUCCAUGUCCUAACUUGCUUCAAAUCUGCUUAUACAUCACCAGUGAGCUUGUUGGCUUUGUGGCAUUGCAUAGUUAAAUAACACCAUUAGAUGAAAAAAAAUCUCACUUUUAUUUUCAAAUAUUUUCAUAGUUCAGCUAUUUUGUGGCAGGAAAUCCAUUUACGUGCAUCAGUACUACCAAAUAACUGGCAUUUUGAUUUCUGUUAACCAAUAAUGUGAUGUUUUUGUGUGAGUUAAUGCCAGCCAUUAACAGGAAUUUUUGUUGUGAAAGAAUUGUGUAUCAUAAUGUCGUGUUUCUGGCAUCAAAUGAUAGCAACUGUUGUGCAAUAAACAUAAUUUA